Molecule: non-coding RNA, 121 nt
Organism: Caenorhabditis elegans
Lineage: Eukaryota; Metazoa; Nematoda; Chromadorea; Rhabditida; Rhabditidae
Source: Ensembl
GGAUCUGACGAGAUGUUAUUUUUAGCCCCGGCCCCCCACCCGGGCUUGUGAUUUUUUUCCGGGCUCAUUUUGUAGUCCGGGGAGCCAAAAAUUUUGAAUUCGUCGCCAAGUUGGGCUGCGG